CAGUAGAAGCAAAAUAUCCUGUUGGGACUCCUUCCACAUAUGUUGUGUCUAAGCAAGUGCUGCCAAGGCUAUGUCAUCUGUUUUGGGAUGCAGAGGGAAUUUUGAUGAUUGACUACCUGCAGAGAUGGAUGCUGGCGCUGGAACCUCAAGCUCGGGUUUGUCCCAGUCUGAGAUUGAUGUGUGAUGGAGGAGGAAGUGGCUCCCUCGGAGUCUGAUGAUGGACCUUCCACUUCUGUGCAUCAGCUUCCUGCCCCUUCCUGUCCUGACCCCUCUCCCAGCCCUUCCCGUCCUGACCCCUCUCCCGGGCAUUUCCGUCCUGACCCCUCUCCCGCCCCUUCC
This is a long non-coding RNA of Bombina bombina (fire-bellied toad), 339 nucleotides long. RefSeq lists it as uncharacterized. The record is from RefSeq and is a predicted model, not a curated record. The transcript is spliced from 4 exons. NCBI's taxonomy places the organism in Eukaryota, Metazoa, Chordata, Amphibia, Anura, Bombinatoridae.